GCCUCGGUGGCCUAACAGGGAAGGCGACGGCCCGGAAAGCCGGAGAUUCCAGGUUCGAUUCCUGGCUGAGGAG
Pseudomyrmex gracilis is the source of this 73-nucleotide non-coding RNA. The record is from the annotation of a RefSeq genome assembly. NCBI's taxonomy places the organism in Eukaryota, Metazoa, Arthropoda, Insecta, Hymenoptera, Formicidae.